UAGGGAAUCUUCGGCAAUGGGGGCAACCCUGACCGAGCAACGCCGCGUGAGUGAAGAAGGUUUUCGGAUCGUAAAGCUCUGUUGUAAGAGAAGAACGUGUGUGAGAGUGGAAAGUUCACACAGUGACGGUAACUUACCAGAAAGGGACGGCUAACUACGUGCCAGCAGCCGCGGUAAUACGUAGGUCCCGAGCGUUGUCCGGAUUGAUUGGGCGUAAAGCGAGCGCAGGCGGUUUAAUAGUCUGAAGUUAAAGGCAGUGGCUUAACCAUUGUUCGCUUUGGAAACUGUUAAACUUGAGUGCAGAAGGGGAGAGUGGAAUUCCAUGUGUAGCGGUGAAAUGCGUAGAUAUAUGGAGGAACACCGGUGGCGAAAGCGGCUCUCUGGUCUGUAACUGACGCUGAGGCUCGAAAGCGUGGGGAGCAAACAGG
RNAcentral lists this ribosomal RNA (428 nucleotides) under bacterium. RNAcentral's name for it is "partial 16S ribosomal RNA". It matches the Rfam family "Bacterial small subunit ribosomal RNA", at positions 355 to 776 of the family's 1533-position model. The record is from RNAcentral.